RNAcentral lists this long non-coding RNA (1298 nucleotides) under Callithrix jacchus (white-tufted-ear marmoset). Its description in RNAcentral is "lncRNA (ENSCJAG00000071181.1)". Lineage: Eukaryota; Metazoa; Chordata; Mammalia; Primates; Cebidae. The record is from RNAcentral.
CAGAUAUUGUGAUUAAUCCAUCUUGUACUUUAUUUUGAGAGUUAAUUUCACAUUUUGUGAAGCACUGCUUCAAUUGCUGCUUUUGCUAAGUGGGUCUUUCCUCUCCUACAUCCUGAAUAUUAUAAAGAAGAAGAGUAAUCCAUAAAAUUAAAAGUUAAAGGACAAGGAUGUAUGCACAAUUGUUCUUUUAGGACUCAGUUCAGCCCACAGAUGUCUCCACAGCUGCUCUCUAUUCCAAAGAGGAUUUUUUUUCCUUGGAAGCAGUCAUAUUAUGAGCUGACAAUCUGGAUGAUGACAUGACUUACACAAAAUUAUCGAGUGAAUCUGAUGCUUGGUAAGAGUUAGAUGCCUAAUUUUCUGAUGAAUAGGCCAUCAGUACCACAUUCAUUGUUCAUCAUUAGUUAAACUCAUCAGAGGUUAAAAUUACCAAAGAUCUCUGAUGUUAGAAUCUUUUAAAAAUAGAGAUUUACUGCUUAUUUUUUGGCUGUGUGUGUUUUUCUCUUUGUUUGUUUUUGUGGGAUAUAGUUAAAAAACUUGUGUAGACUAUUUAAGGAAUAGUGAAACAGUUUAUUUCCUUUUGGGAAUUAGUGUAGCAGUGAAGAUCUUUACAAUUAAAAAUCACAGGUAAAGUUAUUUUUUAAAUGUAAAGAAAAAUUUGUAUACCAAUAUUUUUAAGAGUGGGUAUUUUGAAUAUUUCAAUUUAAUUUGUUGGGAUAAAAGUAGACAAACAAGCCAGGCAAAUUAAACUUUAUAGAAAAAUGUUAUGCCUUAACAGUUAAAAGUAGAAUUGAAAUUUGCAAUAAAAACUAUGGGAAUAUUGAGGAUAUUGAAAUACUGGGGAUGAGUUACAAAUGUACUUUCAUUAUCAUGGAUAAUAAAUCAUAGACAUAUGUAUACAAAUGCAGAAAUUCUUGAUUUAGACUAGUCUGAUAUUAUAAAACAUGACUGUAUCUAUAUAGCUGACAGAGCAUGCAUUAAACUUACUGAUGAUUCAUUCAGAAACUAAUAUUUCUAAUAUUUAAGUUACAGAUUUGUUAGUAGACUUAGACCUUUUACAAAAAAUUUAACAUAUUCAUUAAUUUAGAUAUUAUAUAUAGUAUCAUCACAUGCUAAGCAAGCUGUUGAUAUUGCUUCUAUUUUUGUUGUUGUUGUUAACAAACCGUAGUAUCAUUUCAUUUGGUUGAGUUUCCUCAUCUCUAAUGACUUGGUUAUAAAGACCUAUGUAUUUUGAUUAGCAAUUUUGUAUAGUUGAUUUUAAGAUCUAGAGUUCCACUGCUGUUAGUAUAUAAUCUUAUAAA